Molecule: ribosomal RNA, 447 nt
Filed under: uncultured bacterium
Lineage: Bacteria
Description: partial 16S ribosomal RNA
Rfam family: Bacterial small subunit ribosomal RNA
Source: RNAcentral
GAGCCAGACUCCUACGGGAGGCAGCAGUGGGGGAUAUUGCACAAUGGGGGGAACCCUGAUGCAGCGACGCCGCGUGGGUGAAGAAGCGCCUCGGCGCGUAAAGCCCUGUCAGCAGGGAAGAAAAUGACGGUACCUGAAGAAGAAGCCCCGGCUAACUACGUGCCAGCAGCCGCGGUAAUACGUAGGUGGCAAGCGUUGUCCGGAUUUACUGGGUGUAAAGGGCGUGUAGCCGGGCUGACAAGUCAGAUGUGAAAUCCGGGGGCUCAACCCCCGAACUGCAUUUGAAACUGUUGGUCUUGAGUAUCGGAGAGGCAGGCGGAAUUCCUAGUGUAGCGGUGAAAUGCGUAGAUAUACGGAGGAACACCAGUGGCGAAGGCGGAUUGCUGGACAGUAACUGACGCUGAGGCGCGAAAGCGUGGGGAGCAAACAGGAUUAGAUACCCUCGUA